GAUGAACGCUGGCGGCGUGCCUAAUACAUGCAAGUCGAGCGAACAGACGAGGAUCUUGCUCCUCUGACGUUAGCGGCGGACGGGUGAGUAACACGUGGAUAACCUACCUAUAAGACUGGGAUAACUUCGGGAAACCGGAGCUAAUACCUGAUAAUUUCUUGAACCGCAUGGUUCAAUAGUGAAAGACGGUUUUGCUGUCACUUAUAGAUGGAUCCGCGCCGCAUUAGCUAGUUGGUAAGGUAACGGCUUACCAAGGCAACGAUGCAUAGCCGACCUGAGAGGGUGAUCGGCCACACUGGAACUGAGACACGGUCCAGACUCCUACGGGAGGCAGCAGUAGGGAAUCUUCCGCAAUGGGCGAAAGCCUGAAGGAGCAACGCCGCGUGAGUGAUGAAGGUCUUCGGAUCGUAAAACUCUGUUAUUAGGGAAGAACAAAUGUGUAAGUAACUAUGCACGUCUUGACGGUACCUAAUCAGAAAGCCACGGCUAACUACGUG
RNAcentral lists this ribosomal RNA (497 nucleotides) under uncultured bacterium. RNAcentral's name for it is "partial 16S ribosomal RNA". It matches the Rfam family "Bacterial small subunit ribosomal RNA", at positions 28 to 507 of the family's 1533-position model. The record is from RNAcentral.